AGUCUGCUACUCUUGUCUGAAUAUGGCUAAAGGAGUGACUUGGCUUUUCUAGGCUCCAGUUCUUUAAAUACUAAAUAAGAGCAACAGAGUGGACAACUAGAUAUCCAACCAGGUAACUUGGUGACUUGGAAGUUCUUGUGUCUAUGCUUCAUGGAUGGGAAUAGUGUUUCUGUGGAAGAGAUUCCUAGAAGUGUGAUGGCUGGGUCAAAGGGUAAAUACGUAUGACGUUUUGCUUGAAACUGCCAAAUUCCCCUUCACAGGGGUUGAAGCAUCUUGCAUUCUCAUUGUCAAAAUGUGAGCAUGUUUAUUCCCCGCCGUCUGGCCUGCUGAGCAUGAUGUCAGAGCUUUGGACUUUUGCCAACAAGAUAGAUAUCUACCUGGUAUCCUUGACUUUGUCUCUCAGUAUUCAAAAUCUGCAGUUUCUUUCUAUCUGGUUUGUAUGGAAUGCACUAAUACACAACAAUGAUAAUUAUGGACCUCAGUGGAGCUAUUUCACAGAGACAGGAGAGUGGAGUAAAGAAUUGAAUGGACUUGUGGUACAGAUUCAGAAGAAUCUUGAAGAAUUUCCUCCUCCUCCUCCCAUCAAAAAUAAGUUUGGAACUUUGAAGCUUGGAAAUAAAUAUCAGGUCUGCAUUUUAAGCAAGUUGGAUGUCCAUCUUACCAAAAGGACACUUGCUCAACUAU
Mus caroli (Ryukyu mouse) is the source of this 684-nucleotide long non-coding RNA. RefSeq lists it as uncharacterized. The record is from RefSeq and is a predicted model, not a curated record. Lineage: Eukaryota; Metazoa; Chordata; Mammalia; Rodentia; Muridae.